Molecule: long non-coding RNA, 360 nt
Filed under: Lynx pardinus (Iberian lynx)
Lineage: Eukaryota; Metazoa; Chordata; Mammalia; Carnivora; Felidae
Source: RNAcentral
AACGCUCAUCUGGCUGUGGCAGCCUGUGACUGAAUGAGAGAAAAGUGCCCUAGAAGCUAUUCAUUACGAAUUCACUGGAAGCUCUCAAACGAGGCUGGCAGAAGCUGAAAUUGAAGUGGUCUCUGACCUAAUUUUCUUCUGCAUGAAACAUCUGCAUCAAGGCUCUCUUUGAUGUAUUCCACUUGGCUCUGUCUACGGGAUUGUAUCACAUGGCCUCCGUGUUGCCUCCUUAUUGAAAGACAUUUCCAGCCUGUGCAAGGUAAUGCGAUGUUACUGUUACCCAAGCUAAUCACUCAAUGUGCUCCUAAAAUAGAAACAAUAGCAGUUCAGAGACAAUGUUGUCUGCUGGCUGUUCUGCAG